RNAcentral lists this ribosomal RNA (253 nucleotides) under uncultured bacterium. Its description in RNAcentral is "partial 16S ribosomal RNA". It matches the Rfam family "Bacterial small subunit ribosomal RNA", at positions 524 to 776 of the family's 1533-position model. The record is from RNAcentral.
UACGUAGGGAGCAAGCGUUGUCCGGAAUCAUUGGGCGUAAAGCGCGCGUAGGUGGCCUCAUAAGUCCGCUGUGAAAGUCAAAGGCUCAACCUUUGAAAGCCGGUGGAUACUGUGAGGCUAGAGUACGGAAGAGGCGAGUGGAAUUCCUGGUGUAGCGGUGGAAUGCGCAGAUAUCAGGAGGAACACCAAUAGCGAAGGCAGCUCGCUGGGACGUUACUGACACUGAUGCGCGAAAGCGUGGGGAGCAAACAGG